RNAcentral lists this ribosomal RNA (118 nucleotides) under Boudabousia marimammalium. The record is from RNAcentral. Lineage: Bacteria; Bacillati; Actinomycetota; Actinomycetes; Actinomycetales; Actinomycetaceae.
UGUGGUGGUCAUAGCGGCGGGGAUACGCCCGGCUCCCUUUCCGAACCCGGAAGCUAAGCCCGCCAGCGCUGAUGGUACUGCACUCGCUAGGGUGUGGGAGAGUAAGACGCCGCCACAU